Molecule: small nuclear RNA, 163 nt
Filed under: Microcebus murinus (gray mouse lemur)
Lineage: Eukaryota; Metazoa; Chordata; Mammalia; Primates; Cheirogaleidae
Description: U1 spliceosomal RNA (ENSMICG00000044492.1)
Rfam family: U1 spliceosomal RNA
About the family: U1 is a small nuclear RNA (snRNA) component of the spliceosome (involved in pre-mRNA splicing). Its 5' end forms complementary base pairs with the 5' splice junction, thus defining the 5' donor site of an intron.
Source: Rfam by way of RNAcentral
AUACUUACCUGGCAGGGGAGACACCAUAAUCACAAAAGCGGUUUUCCCACGGUGAGGCUUAUCCAUUGCACUCCAGAUAUGCUGACCCUUGCAGUGUCCCCAAAUAUGGAAAACUCAACUGCAUAAUUUGUGUUAGUGAGUGACAGUGUUCAUGCUCCUCCCU